This 229-nucleotide non-coding RNA is filed under the name Eubacterium coprostanoligenes. RNAcentral's name for it is "T-box sequence". It matches the Rfam family "T-box leader". Rfam says of the family: Uncharged tRNA acts as the effector for transcription antitermination of genes in the T-box leader family. T-boxes are found upstream of many aminoacyl-tRNA synthetase genes and some amino acid biosynthetic genes usually in Gram-positive bacteria. The record is from RNAcentral. Lineage: Bacteria; Bacillati; Bacillota; Clostridia; Eubacteriales; Eubacteriaceae.
UUAAAGAUGUGGAAGCAGAAAAAGAUUGUUUGCUUGCUUCAGAGAGUCGAUGGUUGGUGUGAAUCGGCGGAUGGCAAAUGAUGUAUAGCUCUCUGUGGAGUCGACGACCUGAAUAGAAAUCAAUAGGGUUGUCCGAGUAGCUUCGUUAUAGGCUGAGGCAUUGUUUGAUGCUAAAGGGCAGUUUUUCACUGCUGAAAUAGGGUGGUACCGCGUAUUUUACGCCCCUAUA